RNAcentral lists this ribosomal RNA (419 nucleotides) under bacterium. Its description in RNAcentral is "partial 16S ribosomal RNA". It matches the Rfam family "Bacterial small subunit ribosomal RNA", at positions 355 to 776 of the family's 1533-position model. The record is from RNAcentral.
UGGGGGAUAUUGCACAAUGGGCGAAAGCCUGAUGCAGCGACGCCGCGUGGGGGAUGAAGGCCUUCGGGUUGUAAACUUCUUUUACUCUGAACAAGGCGCACCAUGGGGUGUGUUGAGUGUAGGGGUUGAUUAGCGCCGGCUAACUACGUGCCAGCAGCCGCGGUAAUACGUAGGGCGCGAGCGUUGUCCGGAAUUAUUGGGCGUAAAGGGCUUGUAGGUGGCUGGUUGCGUCUGUCGUGAAAGCUCAUGGCUUAACUGUGGGUUUGCGGUGGGUACGGGCUGGCUUGAGUGCAGUAGGGGAGGCUGGAAUUCCUGGUGUAGCGGUGGAAUGCGCAGAUAUCAGGAGGAAUACCGGUGGCGAAGGCGGGUCUCUGGGCUGUUACUGACACUGAGGAGCGAAAGCAUGGGGAGCGAACAGG